AAGACUUAAAUAGAACAUUAUGCAAUUCAUUUUUAGCUCGACUAUUCGAAGAAUAUGAGAGCUAUUGUAGUCGCCCCGGCGUCGGCGUCGGCGUCAGCGUCCGCGUCGGCGUCUGCGUUGGUUAAAGUUUUUUGUAAAGUCAAAUAUCUCAAUUAUUACUCGAGAUAUUCAAUUGAAACUUACAAUACUUAUUUAUAGUAACAAGGUACAUAAGAUUGACAAGUUGGAUAACUCUGCCUACAAUAUUGACAGAAUUAUGCCCCUUUUUAACUUAGAAAAUUUUGGUUAAAGUUUUUUGUAAAGUCAAAUAUCUCAAUUAUUGCUUGAGAUAUUCAAUUGAAACUUACAAUACUUAUUUAUAGUAACAAGGUACAUCAGAUUGACAAGUUGGAUAACUCUGCCUACAAUAUUGACAGAAUUAUGCCCCUUUUUAACUUAGAAAAUUUUGGUUAAAGUUUUUUGUAAAGUCAAAUAUCUCUAUUAUUGCUUGAGAUAUUCAAUUGAAACUUACAAUACUUAUUUAUAGUAACAAGGUACAUCAGAUUGACAAGUUGGAUAACUCUGUCUACAAUAUUGACAAAAUUAUGCCCCUUUGGAACUUAGAAUUUUGGUUAAAGUUUUUUUGUAAAGUCAAAUAUCUCAAUUAUUGCUUGAGAUAUUCAAUUGAAAUUUAAAAUACUUUUUUAUAGUAACAAUGUUCAUCAGUUUGCAAAAUUGCAUUACUCUGCCUGCAAUAUUUGCAGAAUUAUUUGCCCCUUUGAAACUUAGAAAUUUGGUUAAAGGUUAAAGGUUUUCAAAGAUAUUUACUUGAAACUUUACACAUGCACUUAGGUUCAUAAUUGGAAGGUCAUAAUUGUAUGUCACUGACCAAGUUCCAUAACUCUAUCUUGCAUUAAGGCUGAUUCAUAUCCCCUUUUCUACUUAGUCUCUUGGUUAAUGUUUACAUGCAAGUUUUACAUAUCUCAAUAACUUUUAAAGAUAUUUAUUUAAAACUUCACAUAUGAUUUAGGGUCAUAAUUGUAGGUCACUGACAAAGAUCCAUAAUUCUAUCUUGCAUUUAGGCGGAUUUUUCUCCCCUUCUUUCAACUUAGAAAUUCAUGGUAAAGUUUUGCUUGUAAGCUGUUAUAUCAACAACUACUGAAGGGUUUGUGCCUUUUUUGGGACAAUUUUAUGCAUUCAUGAUAAUAAAGCAGUGAUUUACUUGAUAAAACAUCUUAAUAACAAGCCUUUGUACCUUUUCUGUCAAAUUUAUGUAUUCAUAGGUAAUUAAUAUUAUUAUACUCAAUAAAACACCCUUGUGACAUUUCCUUCCGAAUAGUCAAGCCAAUACUGUAUAAUUAGACCCUCUCUAAGGCCUAUAACAUGAAUUUAUAAAAAAAAAUUAGCCCUUUUGUGAACUUAAAAAAUUUAACAGUAUCAAAGCUCUUUUACUAUCAAGCACUUAGAAUAGUCGAGCAUGCUGUCCUACCGACAGCUCUUGUUAUUUAAAAGAUUGUUAUAAAUAUAAAUGGCCUGUUGAUUAAAAAUUGCCAAUUGUUGAUUAAAAAUUGCCAAUAAAUUGAAUAAUAAGUAUUCCUUUUACAGGUGAUACCGCAGAAAUAUUAUGGAAGCUAUCAACAGGAGCAUGCUCUAGCAUAGAUUUGGUCAAAACUUCUGAAGAUGAACAAUUGGAUGACGACUGCGGUGAUGUUCGGCCUUUGAUUCAGUCUGGAAAAGACAAACAUCAAGUGAAAUGGUCAGAUAGUGAUACAGCCUUACUCAGGAGACAUUUUUCAAGUUGUGUUUACAGUAAUGCCAAAGACAACAAAGGACGCUUACCAAGUGAGUACUUAUCUUGUUAUUAUUUUAUAAUAAUAUGAAAUUACAGCUUAAUUUUUAUGCUCCCCGAAAAAAUUUCGGGGGAGCGUAUAGUCGCCGCCUUGUCCGUCCGUCCGUCCGUCCCCUUUUCUUGUCCGGGACAUAACUUUGAAACAACAAGAGGUAUCAACAUGAAACUUUGUAGGUAGAUAGAUCUCAUUGAGUAGGUGUGCAGUGCACAAGAACCGUAACUCUGCCUUGCCUAAUUUUUGAAUUAUCCCCCUUUGUUUAUUUUACACUUUGAACUUUGUCCGGGACAUAACUCUAAAA
Long non-coding RNA from Ruditapes philippinarum (Manila clam), 2127 nucleotides. RefSeq lists it as uncharacterized. Lineage: Eukaryota; Metazoa; Mollusca; Bivalvia; Venerida; Veneridae. The transcript has 3 exons. The record is from RefSeq and is a predicted model, not a curated record.